UACGGAGGGUGCAAGCGUUAAUCGGAAUUACUGGGCGUAAAGCGCGCGUAGGCGGCUUGAUAAGUCGGAUGUGAAAUCCCUGGGCUCAACCUGGGAACUGCAUUCGAUACUGUCUGGCUAGAGUGUGGGAGAGGGUGGUGGAAUUCCCGGUGUAGCGGUGAAAUGCGUAGAUAUCGGGAGGAACAUCAGUGGCGAAGGCGACCGCCUGGCCCAACACUGACGCUGAGGUGCGAAAGCGUGGGUAGCAAACAGG
RNAcentral lists this ribosomal RNA (253 nucleotides) under uncultured bacterium. Its description in RNAcentral is "partial 16S ribosomal RNA". It matches the Rfam family "Bacterial small subunit ribosomal RNA", at positions 524 to 776 of the family's 1533-position model. RNAcentral also lists the same sequence under 1 other name. The record is from RNAcentral.